AUAGAGAAUAGUUAGUGGCAGACGGGUGAGUAAUGCAUAGGAAUCUACCUAGUAGUAUGGGAUAGCCACUAGAAAUGGUGGGUAAUACUGUAUAAUCCCUGCGGGGGAAAGAUUUAUCGCUAUUAGAUGAGCCUAUGUUAGAUUAGCUAGUUGGUAGGGUAAAGGCCUACCAAGGCGAUGAUCUAUAGCUGGUCUGAGAGGAUGAUCAGCCACACUGGAACUGAGAUACGGUUCAGACUCCUACGGGAGGCAGCAGUGGGGAAUAUUGGACAAUGGGCGCAAGCCUGAUCCAGCUAUGCCGCGUGAGUGAGGAAGGCCUUAGGGUUGUAAAACUCUUUCAGUAGGGAAGAUAAUGACGGUACCUACAGAAGAAGUCCCGGCAAACUCCGUGCCAGCAGCCGCGGUAAUACGGAGGGGGCAAGCGUUGUUCGGAAUUAUUGGGCGUAAAGGGCAUGUAGGCGGUUCGGUAAGUUAAAGGUGAAAUGCCAGGGCUUAAC
This 497-nucleotide ribosomal RNA is filed under the name Anaplasma phagocytophilum. RNAcentral describes it as "bacterial SSU rRNA". It matches the Rfam family "Bacterial small subunit ribosomal RNA", at positions 81 to 613 of the family's 1533-position model. Lineage: Bacteria; Pseudomonadati; Pseudomonadota; Alphaproteobacteria; Rickettsiales; Anaplasmataceae. The record is from RNAcentral.